UUAUUUUCUAUGCUUAUAUUUUUAUAAAAAGAAACAACUCACUUUAAUAAGUUAUAGUAAUAUCUUAAUUAAUAUAAAAAGUUUUUAAAGUACCGAAGGGGAACCUCAAAAAAGAUUAAAAGAAAAAUUUACUUUUUGUACCUUUUGUAUCAGGGUUUAUUAAAUUAAAAUUCAUAAGAAUUAAUCUCGAAACUUCAAGAUCUAAUUAAGAUUAAAUUCAUUUUAUUGUUUCAAUAAUAAUUUUUAAAUCUUAAAUAGUUAUAAAACGUAUGCGUUUGAAGAGAUAUCUAGUUUUUUUAGAAAUAAAUUUAAUUUAAUUUAGAUUUGUAAAAUAAAAAUAAAAUUUUUAAUAUAAAUUUAAAUAUAUUUAAUCUGGGAAGAGCUUGAUUAAAAUUUAGGUAAAUUAAAAAAUGAACUUUUAAGGAUUUAAAAUGUCCUAGAACGUAAUAGUUAAAAAGAUAAAAUAAAAAUAUUUCCAAAAUAAGCCUAAUUUCUAUAAAAAAGUCUAUUUAAACUUUAACAAUAAAAUUAAAAUGAUAAAAUAAGUAAAUAAUAAAAAAUAUUUUAAAGAAUUCGGCAACUUAAUUUCCGACUGUUUAACAAAAACAUUUCCUGUAGUAAGAAUUAUAGGUACCUCCUGCUCAAUGAAUAAAAUUUUAAUAGCUGCGAGUAGUCGUACAAAGGUAGCAAAAUAAUUUGUUUUUUAAUUGGAAACCAGAAUGAAAGGAUAAACGAGAAAUAAUCUGUUUCAAAAUAAGAAUUGAAAUUUAUAUUUAAGUCAAAAAGCUUAAAUUUAUUUGAAGGACGAGAAGACCCUAUAGAACUUAAAGAUUUACUUAAAGUUUUGAAUUCUUAAAUUGUUAAAAGACUUUAUGUAAAACUUUUUACUGGGGUAGUAGGAAAGUAAAACUAAUCUUUCUUUCUUUAAACAUUAAUAAAUGAAAAUAUAAGAUCCAUUUUGAAAAAAGAAAAAGUUACCUUAGGGAUAACAGCGUUAUGCUUUUUGAGAGCUCAAAUCGACAAAAGAUAUUACGACCUCGAUGUUGGAUUAAGAUUUAUAAAAGGAGCAGAAGCUUUAAUAAUUUGGUCUGUUCGACCAUUAAAAUCUUACAUGAUCUGAGUUCAGACCGGCGUAAGCCAGGUCGGAUUCUAUCCUCAAAAUAUAUAUUGUUAUAGUACGAAAGGACCUAGCAAU
RNAcentral lists this ribosomal RNA (1195 nucleotides) under Franklinothrips vespiformis. Its description in RNAcentral is "large subunit ribosomal RNA". The stretch from base 773 to 1195 matches the Rfam family "Bacterial large subunit ribosomal RNA", at positions 2048 to 2700 of the family's 2925-position model. The record is from RNAcentral. Lineage: Eukaryota; Metazoa; Arthropoda; Insecta; Thysanoptera; Aeolothripidae.